RNAcentral lists this ribosomal RNA (809 nucleotides) under uncultured bacterium. RNAcentral's name for it is "bacterial SSU rRNA". It matches the Rfam family "Bacterial small subunit ribosomal RNA", at positions 8 to 796 of the family's 1533-position model. The record is from RNAcentral.
AGAGUUUGAUCAUGGCUCAGAAUCAACGCUGGCGGCGUGCCUAACACAUGCAAGUCGAGCGCGAAAGUCCCGCAAGGGAUCAGUAGAGUGGCAAACGGGUGAGUAACACGUGGGUGACCUGCCUUCGAGUGGGGGAUAACGUCCCGAAAGGGACGCUAAUACCGCAUGACAUCCUGCCUUUGAAGAGGCGGAGAUCAAAGCUGGGGAUCGCAAGACCUAGCGCUCAAAGAGGGGCCCGCGCCUGAUUAGCUAGUUGGCGAGGUAACGGCUCACCAAGGCAACGAUCAGUAUCCGGCCUGAGAGGGCGGACGGACACACUGGGACUGAGACACGGCCCAGACUCCUACGGGAGGCAGCAGUGGGGAAUUGUUCGCAAUGGGCGCAAGCCUGACGACGCAACGCCGCGUGGAGGAUGAAGACCUUCGGGUCGUAAACUCCUUUCGAUCGAGACGAAUGGCCUUCGGGUGAAUAGCCCGGAGGAGUGACGGUACCGAGAGAAGAAGCCCCGGCUAACUCCGUGCCAGCAGCCGCGGUAAUACGGGGGGGGCAAGCGUUGUUCGGAAUUACUGGGCGUAAAGGGCUCGUAGGCGGCCAACUAAGUCAGACGUGAAAUCCCUCGGCUUAACCGGGGAACUGCAUCUGAUACUGGAUGGCUCGAGUUCGGGAGAGGGAUGUGGAAUUCCAGGUGUAGCGGUGAAAUGCGUAGAUAUCUGGAGGAACACCGGUGGCGAAGGCGGCAUCCUGGACCGACACUGACGCUGAGGAGCGAAAGCCAGGGGAGCAAACGGGAUUAGAUACCCUAGUAGUCC